Molecule: ribosomal RNA, 679 nt
Filed under: Bacillus sp. W2sTT
Lineage: Bacteria; Bacillati; Bacillota; Bacilli; Caryophanales; Bacillaceae
Description: bacterial SSU rRNA
Rfam family: Bacterial small subunit ribosomal RNA
Source: RNAcentral
UUAAGAGCUUGCUCUUAUGAAGUUAGCGGCGGACGGGUGAGUAACACGUGGGUAACCUGCCCAUAAGACUGGGAUAACUCCGGGAAACCGGGGCUAAUACCGGAUAACAUUUUGAACCGCAUGGUUCGAAAUUGAAAGGCGGCUUCGGCUGUCACUUAUGGAUGGACCCGCGUCGCAUUAGCUAGUUGGUGAGGUAACGGCUCACCAAGGCAACGAUGCGUAGCCGACCUGAGAGGGUGAUCGGCCACACUGGGACUGAGACACGGCCCAGACUCCUACGGGAGGCAGCAGUAGGGAAUCUUCCGCAAUGGACGAAAGUCUGACGGAGCAACGCCGCGUGAGUGAUGAAGGCUUUCGGGUCGUAAAACUCUGUUGUUAGGGAAGAACAAGUGCUAGUUGAAUAAGCUGGCACCUUGACGGUACCUAACCAGAAAGCCACGGCUAACUACGUGCCAGCAGCCGCGGUAAUACGUAGGUGGCAAGCGUUAUCCGGAAUUAUUGGGCGUAAAGCGCGCGCAGGUGGUUUCUUAAGUUCUGAUGUGAAAGCCCACGGGUUCAACCGUGGAGGGUCAUUGGAAACUGGGGAGACUUUGAGUGCAGAAAGAGGAAAGUGGAAUUUCCAUGUGGUAGCGGUUGAAAAUGCGUAGAGGAUAUGGAAGGAACACCAGUGGGCGAAGGC